AUUGAACGCUGGCGGCAUGCCUUACACAUGCAAGUCGAACGGCAGCACGGGUGCUUGCACCUGGUGGCGAGUGGCGAACGGGUGAGUAUUACAUCGGAACGUACCUUAUCGUGGGGGAUAACGCAGCGAAAGCUGUGCUAAUACCGCAUACGCCCUGAGGGGGAAAGCGGGGGAUCGCAAGACCUCGCGCGAUUAGAGCGGCCGAUGCCUGAUUAGCUUGUUGGUGGGGUAAAAGCCCACCAAGGCGACGAUCAGUAGCUGGUCUGAGAGGACGAUCAGCCACACUGAGACUGAGACAGGGCCCAGACUCCUACGGGAGGCAGCAGUGGGGAAUUUUGGACAAUGGGGGCAACCCUGAUCCAGCAAUGCCGCGUGAGUGAAGAAGGCCUUCGGGUUGUAAAGCUCUUUUGUCAGGGAAGAAACACCGGCUCUAACACAGUCCGGGAAUGACGGUACCUGAAGAAUAAGCACCGGCUAACUACGUGCCAGCCGCCGCCGUAA
This 501-nucleotide ribosomal RNA is filed under the name uncultured bacterium. RNAcentral describes it as "partial 16S ribosomal RNA". It matches the Rfam family "Bacterial small subunit ribosomal RNA", at positions 30 to 523 of the family's 1533-position model. The record is from RNAcentral.